Molecule: ribosomal RNA, 468 nt
Filed under: uncultured bacterium
Lineage: Bacteria
Description: partial 16S ribosomal RNA
Rfam family: Bacterial small subunit ribosomal RNA
Source: RNAcentral
GACGAACGCUGGCGGCGUGCUUAACACAUGCAAGUCGAACGGAAAGGCCCUGCUUUUGUGGGGUGCUCGAGUGGCGAACGGGUGAGUAACACGUGAGUAACCUGCCCUUGACUUUGGGAUAACUUCAGGAAACUGGGGCUAAUACCGGAUAGGAGCUCCUGCUGCAUGGUGGGGGUUGGAAAGUUUCGGCGGUUGGGGAUGGACUCGCGGCUUAUCAGCUUUUUGGUGGGGUAGUUGCUUACCAAGGCUUUGACGGGUAGCCGGCCUGAGAGGGUGACCGGCCACAUUGGGACUGAGAUACGGCCCAGAAGCCUAAGGGAGGCAGCAGGGGGGAAAAUUGCAAAAUGGGGGGAAGCCUGAAGGAGCAAAGCCGCGUGCGGGAUGAAGGCCUUCGGGUUGUAAACCGCUUUCGCCUGUGACGAAGCGUGAGUGACGGUAAUGGGUAAAGAAGCACCGGCUAACUACGUG